Molecule: transfer RNA, 81 nt
Filed under: Rubrobacter sp.
Lineage: Bacteria; Bacillati; Actinomycetota; Rubrobacteria; Rubrobacterales; Rubrobacteraceae
Also listed under: 2 other names
Description: tRNA-Leu
Rfam family: tRNA
About the family: Transfer RNA (tRNA) molecules are approximately 80 nucleotides in length. Their secondary structure includes four short double-helical elements and three loops (D, anti-codon, and T loops).
Source: RNAcentral
GCGAGAGUGGUGGAAUGGUAGACACGCUAGAUUUAGGAUCUAGUGCCGCAAGGCGUGCGGGUUCAAAUCCCGCCUCUCGCA